GAUGAACGCUAGCGGCAGGCUUAACACAUGCAAGUCGAGGGGUAACAGAGUAGCUUGCUAUUGCUGACGACCGGCGCACGGGUGCGUAACGCGUAUAGGAUCUACCUUAUACUGAGGGAUAGCCUUUAGGAAACGAAGAUUAAUACCUCAUAGUAUGUUAGUUUGGCAUCAAACAAACAUUAAAGGUUACGGUAUAAGAUGACUAUGCGUUCUAUUAGCUAGAUGGUUUGGUAACGGCAUACCAUGGCAACGAUAGAUAGGGGCCCUGAGAGGGGGAUCCCCCACACUGGUACUGAGACACGGACCAG
Molecule: ribosomal RNA, 308 nt
Filed under: uncultured bacterium
Lineage: Bacteria
Description: bacterial SSU rRNA
Rfam family: Bacterial small subunit ribosomal RNA
Source: RNAcentral